Molecule: ribosomal RNA, 467 nt
Filed under: uncultured bacterium
Lineage: Bacteria
Description: bacterial SSU rRNA
Rfam family: Bacterial small subunit ribosomal RNA
Source: RNAcentral
UUCCAGACUCCUACGGGAGGCAGCAGUGAGGAAUAUUGGUCAAUGGCCGAGAGGCUGAACCAGCCAAGUCGCGUGAGGGAUGACGGCCCUACGGGUUGUAAACCUCUUUUGCCGGGGAGCAAAGAGCGGGACGCGUCCCGCCUCGAGAGUACCCGGAGAAAAAGCAUCGGCUAACUCCGUGCCAGCAGCCGCGGUAAUACGGAGGAUGCGAGCGUUAUCCGGAUUUAUUGGGUUUAAAGGGUGCGUAGGCGGAAGGUUAAGUCAGCGGUCAAAUGUCGGUGCUCAACACCGGCCUGCCGUUGAAACUGGUCUUCUUGAGUGAGCGAGAAGUAUGCGGAAUGCGUGGUGUAGCGGUGAAAUGCAUAGAUAUCACGCAGAACUCCGAUUGCGAAGGCAGCAUACCGGCGCUCAACUGACGCUGAGGCACGAAAGCGUGGGGAUCGAACAGGAUUAGAUACCCCCGUAAG